UGACCAACGUGGGGCUCGAACCCACGACUCUGAUAUUAAGAGUCUCAUGCUCUACCGUGUUCGGCUAGCUCAGUC
Non-coding RNA from Cordylochernes scorpioides, 75 nucleotides. NCBI's taxonomy places the organism in Eukaryota, Metazoa, Arthropoda, Arachnida, Pseudoscorpiones, Chernetidae. The record is from the annotation of a GenBank genome assembly.